UACAGAGGUCCCAAGCGUUGUUCGGAAUUACUGGGCGUAAAGGGCGCGUAGGCGGCCUUCUAAGUCGAACGUGAAAUCCCCGGGCUCAACCCGGGAACUGCGUCCGAUACUGGGAGGCUUGAAUCCGGGAGAGGGAUGUGGAAUUCCAGGUGUAGCGGUGAAAUGCGUAGAUAUCUGGAGGAACACCGGUGGCGAAGGCGGCAUCCUGGACCGGUAUUGACGCUGAGGCGCGAAAGCCAGGGGAGCAAACGGG
This 253-nucleotide ribosomal RNA is filed under the name uncultured bacterium. RNAcentral describes it as "partial 16S ribosomal RNA". It matches the Rfam family "Bacterial small subunit ribosomal RNA", at positions 524 to 776 of the family's 1533-position model. The record is from RNAcentral.